This 339-nucleotide unclassified non-coding RNA is filed under the name Melicope pteleifolia. RNAcentral describes it as "sequence contains 18S rRNA gene, ITS1, 5.8S rRNA gene, ITS2 and 28S rRNA gene". The stretch from base 1 to 57 matches the Rfam family "Eukaryotic small subunit ribosomal RNA", at positions 1775 to 1831 of the family's 1831-position model. The record is from RNAcentral. Lineage: Eukaryota; Viridiplantae; Streptophyta; Magnoliopsida; Sapindales; Rutaceae.
AGAGGAAGGAGAAGUCGUAACAAGGUUUCCGUAGGUGAACCUGCGGAAGGAUCAUUGUCGAAACCUGCCCAGCAGAACGACCUGUGAACUCUUUAAUACACCGGAGGGUGCGUUCCUCGAGUGCGCUCCCCUCCCUUCUGCGUCAGGCGCGGGCUUGCGCUCGUGCUUGUUGCGGAACAACCAACCCCGGGCGCAGCAUGCGCCAAGGAAAACAAACAAAGAGAGCACGAUCUCAGGCCCCAUACAUGGUGUGCUUGGGAUGCGGUGCCUUCUCUCAAAUUAUAUAAAACGACUCUCGGCAACGGAUAUCUCGGCUCUCGCAUCGAUGAAGAACGCAGC